UUUGUGACACUGUUUUCACAUUUGAUGAUUCCAAUAGAAGUAAAAGUAAAACCUAAACCACGUGACAUUGUUGACCUCUGUUCUGUCUAAUCUUAAUUUUACAGACUGGGAUUUGUCUCCAUCAGGUAUUUUAAUGCCGUUUUUUCACAUCAGCUUCUUCACAUAUGCCCAGAUGUUCAUCAUGCGCGUGCAUGUAAGAACCACCUAAACUAAGCUGCAUAGCAACUGCAGCCUUCGCUCUGCUUCUGCUCUCUGCUCCUCCUGGACUGACUCUGAGCCAAUCGCGUCAGCCGCUCCGCGUGACGUCUGAUUUGUUGACACAUCCAUUAGCUCGCUACCUGGCUGACGUCACUGCAGCAGACAGGACUCCAGCAGCUGCUGAUGAUACAGAGUACAGAGUUGCAAAGAAGCACGAACCCUACGCACCAAGUGAUCCCUCCUCUCGGAGAGAAGCGAUCUCUGAAGGAAGCUGCUCCGACGACGCUUUAGCGCGGACGGACUCUGCCUGGAGACACUGACAGCUAAUCGGAACCGGCGGCCGACGGAGACGUAUGGGUACGGGUCGAUUAGCUGGGAUGACACGAACUGUUCGUUUCUCUGCCCCUCCUCCAUGUCGCAUGAAUUGAACCUGGGAGGUUCCGUUAGGUCGUUGUUUACUGUCCUGACUUAUUUCUAUUGCUUUUUGUGAAGGAAGUGGCUUUAGUGCGGUUUGACAGUCGUCUGGGAGACGUUGUCUUAAUCCUUAGUGACUCAUUUCAUUCAUUCAGCGAAGGUAAAGUCCGUUGUGUUAUUGGCUUGAGAUGUAAAUAACGACCCCUAGCUGUUCUCUCUAGAAGGAAUCAAACUACCAACCUGUGUGGUGAAGGAGCUAUAUUUAGCCCGGCUCCUGUGAUGAGCUGAUGGAGACGCUUCUCGCUUCCUGAACGGAGCGUUUCUUCCCACAGGCGUUAAUGCAGCCUGCACCUAGUGAGCACAGAGUGAUAAUGAAGCCUGGGCCCACGGGCCCAUGUUCUGACCCGCCCAUCCUGUGGGUAGUUGUGGCCCCAGCGGGUCAGUCUCUGCCCUCCUCACUACCGAUUAGCUCCAUCAACUGUGUUCACUGAGCAGAAC
This 1110-nucleotide long non-coding RNA is filed under the name Betta splendens (Siamese fighting fish). RNAcentral describes it as "lncRNA (ENSBSLG00000000896.1)". The record is from RNAcentral. Lineage: Eukaryota; Metazoa; Chordata; Actinopteri; Anabantiformes; Osphronemidae.